GGCUUUUAAAGUUUCCAAAUUUUGUCCGGCCUCUCCCAUUGACUCGAUCCACCUUGCGGCACUCAUAGCGAAGCGUGGAACGCAUUGUUGGGUUAAGCGCUCGUCGUAUUGCUGAAGGCGGAACGACCGAUCGUCGGGAGCGUUCAAUCGGUCAGUGUAUUUUACCCAUCAGUCGCGGACGCCAGUGGAAUCGCAUCAGUGUGCCCCCCAGUCCCCCAGUGAAGCCGAGCAGUGUUUUGAUCGCAGCUCCGCGUGUCGGAAUCGGAUCCAGGGGAUCCUCUAAUCGUCGCCUUCCUGCUCCACCGACUACUUUCUCUCUGCCCACGACCACGCCGCGCCGCCACACCGCGCUCAAUCCCAAACAUCAACAAACUAUCACCGAACCGGUUCAAUCCUACGGCUCCCCUUCAAAUUCGUCUCGCUUUUCGCGCGUUUUUCACAGUUUUUACGAAUUCCGGAAUUUUAUCGAUUGACUCUACGAUUUGUGCUUUUUUUACGAUCAACAUGUGCUGAUUGUGAGUGUGUGUGUUUGUGCGACUUGAAUUUUCCGAUCGAGGACAACCAGUUUUCUUGAUUUGAGAAAUAUGGUAGUGCAGGAGACGGAGGUGGUCUGUCGACCCAAUACAGAUCCAUUUGAUCUCAAUUUAGAAUGGCAGAUGCGUGCGGAGAAAGAGCUAAACGAAUGCCCAGAGACCGCCCGAAAGAAUGUCGUUCAACUUAGGCAAAAAUUAAAAGAGGAUCUAUCAAUGAACUCCAGAGUAGACGAUGUAUUUUGCAUGGCAUUUCUACGAGCAAGAAAACAUGACGUGGAUAAAGCCUAUAAUUAGUAAGUUUCCUUUUUAAUAUUUUUUCGUUUAAGUAAACUGCCUAAAUUCAAGAGUUUUGUUUUUAACAAAACAUUGUUUUUAACACAAAACCAUUCGUGACGAGGUAAUAAAUCGCCAUAAGCUAUCGUAAAAUAUUGACAUGACUCACGAACGUGAUUGUGAUUUAAUAAGAUAGAUUAGAUAGAUUAGAUAGAUUUAGAUAGAAUAGAUAGAUUCAAUGUGUCAAAUUAGAUAGAUUUUAAGCUUGGAAAUCAUAUUUAUCCCGUUGUGCGUUUGAUACGCUACGUUGUCGCCGAAAUUUUUAAUCUUCACUCCUCACGGCAAAUGGUACUUAUUAAACUUUAGCUGUAUGUACCUAAAUUCCAAAAAAUACUCAGAGCUGAAUUUUUUUCUAAUUGAAGGUAAAUACAGAGAGAAAUUUAGAUUACCUAAAUUAAAAAACAUGGAACUUUUUUUAAAAAAAAUUCUCUCACUUCAUUCAUCAUGCGUUGAUUGAGGUUUUUCCUCGAGGUUUCUGGCGUUGUCAAUCUGGUGUGCGAGAUAUCGCAUGGAUUAUGUCACAAAUCUUGGCAGAUUUUGAAUUUUCGUCCAAAAAAAGGACAAUAGCCCCUGCGCGUGGUGCCAAGGGAAUGGUGCCCAAAGAAUCAGUUCAAACCAAAAAAUUGGCAAAAUCCAGUGACUUGAUAGCAGAACCCUGUUUCGAUAAACCUCGUAUUCGAUAUAAAAAUCGAUGAUUGUAUUGAAUGCGAGGUUUUUUCAAACAGGAUUCUCCUUUCACUUCACAAGGUUUUGCCAACUGUUUGUCUUAGAAUGAUUCUUCGGGCUCAUGAGCAGGGACUAUCGUCCUUUUUUUGGACGAAAUUCAAAAUCUGCUGAGAUUUUUUACUGAAUCUAUGCAAAUAUCGCACAUCACUUCGACCACGCCAGAAACCUUGAGGAAUCACAUUAAGCCAAAACAUAGACUCUUCCAAAUCAAAAUCAAUCCAAAGUCCGUAUCAGAGAUAAUUCAAGUCAACCAUUUUUUGAAAAUAUACGUUUGUAAAACAAAGGGAAAUGGCACACAGUUCCAUCAAAACUGCCAGUAUUAAGGACCUAUCAAUUGUGCAACUGCAACGUACAGCCCGUGUUGAAAGAGCCGCGUUUCACAUGAGAGGAGUUAACAAAACGUGAUACGAAUGCAAGUUGGUGCUGUCAAUGACACACAUCACUGUGAGAGGAUAUUUGCCAAAUAGAUAUCGAUUUUUUUUCUCGCCCUCCCCCCCUCGCCCAUUCUCUAUUUGUGAUUCUCUACACGUGAGGAGCAUGGGCAUCGCACUUGGUAUAAAAAUUAGUUUCGACACCCGAUUUAUUUAAGUUUUUUUCAUUGAGUUGCCCAAAUGUUCGGCACGAGUCUUUUCGUCAUGCUCUCUGGCACAUUAACGAAAUAUGGUCUUGAACUCUUCAUUCUUCAUUAUUGUCAUAUCUCACGUAACCGUGUGUAUUGGGUACCUCUUCUCAAUUUAAUGGAUACUAUAUUUAAAGAAACCACUCAAAAAUGGACAUAUUUUACUAGUUAGUGAAACUAAUUACGACGAUCAGCAACUAAAGUAUUUACGUCGGAAAUCAGGAAUUCAUCUUAUACAAUUACUUUAUUUACUCGCUCUUUAAUGUUUUAACAGGGGAUGAGUGAUUGAAAACAUGAAAACGUUAGGGCCGCAUAAAAUUGACAGAGAAUAAAAAAUUCAGGUUUAUGAUUACUUACGUCAACAAUGGCGAAAAGUGCGAUCAAAGUUAAAUUCUCAUAAAACAGCUUUGAAUAUAAUGAUAUAUGUUUAAGUCUACUCCUCUCCCUCUUGCAGAAGAAAACCCGUUCUCGUCUGUCUCAUGCAGUUGCAAUGCGCGUAAUUACUGAGUAGAAUGUUUACAUGAAAAUAAGCGUUCUCAACUGCCUAAUUCUUUUCUCUGUCUGGCUUUUUCUGUGCGCGUAUCAUAAAUUGGACGUAUUUAUGCGAAAAGGAGAUAUGUGCAAGUGGAAAGAUGGGGUGUGCUCGUUAGUUGGGUCAUAAGAAACAAUGUAAAAGUGGAUAUAGUUCCUUUUGAGAAAAUUGAAAAGCGAGAUUUGACAUUAAAUCAA
This 2940-nucleotide long non-coding RNA is filed under the name Bemisia tabaci. RNAcentral's name for it is "lncRNA ENSSSA1NGG007011". Lineage: Eukaryota; Metazoa; Arthropoda; Insecta; Hemiptera; Aleyrodidae. The record is from RNAcentral.